UGUUAAAAAUUUCAUUCACUUGUAUGCGAUUGACGAAAUAACCAGAUAAUGAUAUGCGAUGUGCCACGUGUACCUCAUGUUGACGCAUAUAGACCAAUUUUUAAAAGCAUAAAUAAAUGAAGUUUUCAACA
This is a non-coding RNA of Gossypium raimondii (Peruvian cotton), 131 nucleotides long. NCBI's taxonomy places the organism in Eukaryota, Viridiplantae, Streptophyta, Magnoliopsida, Malvales, Malvaceae. The record is from Rfam.